This 313-nucleotide ribosomal RNA is filed under the name Neocarus texanus. RNAcentral's name for it is "partial 28S ribosomal RNA". It matches the Rfam family "Eukaryotic large subunit ribosomal RNA", at positions 666 to 946 of the family's 3401-position model. The record is from RNAcentral. Lineage: Eukaryota; Metazoa; Arthropoda; Arachnida; Opilioacarida; Opilioacaridae.
CCAAGGAGUNUAUCGUGCGUGCAAGUCAAUGGGUGUCGAAUAACCCCAUGGGCGCAAUGAAAGGUGAAAGCCGGACCAGUUCCGGCAGAGAUGCGAUCCCGGGGUUGAACUCCCCGGGCGCAGCAUCGGCCCGUCCCGUCCGCGACGUCGGUGGGGCGGAGCAAGAGCACGUACGUUGGUACCCGAAAGAUGGUGAACUAUGCCUGGGCAGGGCGAGGCCAGAGGAAACUCUGGUGGAGGUCCGAAGCGAUUCUGACGUGCAAAUCGAUCGUCCGACCCGGGUAUAGGGGCGAAAGACUAAUCGAACCAUCUA